This 750-nucleotide long non-coding RNA is filed under the name Ricinus communis (castor bean). Its description in RNAcentral is "long non-coding RNA (RCOM_LNC001399)". The record is from RNAcentral. Lineage: Eukaryota; Viridiplantae; Streptophyta; Magnoliopsida; Malpighiales; Euphorbiaceae.
UUAUUUCCAUAUGAGAAAAAGAAAAGAUAAAGAGAGAUGAAACAAACAAGAUAAGCACAUUGAAAUUUAACAAUUGAACUCCAAAGACAGAAUAAAAUUAAGAAAAGUAAAGAAACACAAACAUAACGAAGAAGAGUCCCCGAAGCAGACCCCAUACAAACAAACAUAAACCCUUCAUAUAAAAACCCAACAUUAUUCCUCUUACAUUAUUAUCAUUUCCCUUCUUGUGCCUUCCUCUGGAUGUCUUGUCCCACUUCCUUGGUCUUCAUCCCAACAUAACCGGCCAUGUCCUGCAUGCGCUUCUUCGCCUGGUCCAGUGAUUCUGGCAUGGCAGUACCUUCCCUGAAAUACUUCAACGCCCACGACUGCGACGUCAGCCCGCUCAGCCCGAGAGCUCCAGCAACCAUAAAUGCCAUCAUAGCAAGGCCAAUAACAACGGCAGCAGGAAGAAUUAUAGGGCCGAAGAGAAUAAAAAGUGGGGUGGCAAUGGCCAUCCCGAUGAGCGUAUUCGUUAAGGUUAUGCCAGAGAGAGAUAGAAGACCACCACCAACCGGCAGAAAGGUUAACACAGCUAACACUUUGGAGGCUGAUGGACCCUUCUGUUGGCCCUUGUAGCCAGUAGUUGGAUCAUAGCGGUGCACUUGCACCUGGUGCGGCUGCGGACGAUCAGCCAUUGUCAGUAGCUUCCAAGUUCAAAGAAGUCGCCAAAAAAGAGUACAAAGAAAGAGAUUAUCAGUCGAACGAAGAGGA